RNAcentral lists this transfer RNA (69 nucleotides) under Pseudopaludicola mystacalis (Cope's swamp frog). RNAcentral describes it as "tRNA-Val". It matches the Rfam family "tRNA". From Rfam's summary of the family: Transfer RNA (tRNA) molecules are approximately 80 nucleotides in length. Their secondary structure includes four short double-helical elements and three loops (D, anti-codon, and T loops). Further hydrogen bonds mediate the characteristic L-shaped molecular structure. tRNAs have two regions of fundamental functional importance: the anti-codon, which is responsible for specific mRNA codon recognition, and the 3' end, to which the tRNAs corresponding amino acid is attached (by aminoacyl-tRNA synthetases). tRNAs cope with the degeneracy of the genetic code in two manners: having more than one tRNA (with a specific anti-codon) for a particular amino acid; and 'wobble' base-pairing, i.e. permitting non-standard base-pairing at the 3rd anti-codon position. The record is from RNAcentral. Lineage: Eukaryota; Metazoa; Chordata; Amphibia; Anura; Leptodactylidae.
CAAAAGUAGCUUAAUUUAAAGCAUCUUGCUUACACCAAGAAGAUACCCGUGAAAUUCGAGUCAUUUUGA